CGUGAGUAACCUGCCUUGGAGAGGGGAAUAACACAUCGAAAGAUGUGCUAAUACCGCAUGAAAUGUCUGAAUCGCAUGGUUCUGGACAUCAAAGAUUUAUCGCUCUGAGAUGGACUCGCGUCUGAUUAGCUGGUUGGCGGGGUAACGGCCCACCAAGGCGACGAUCAGUAGCCGGACUGAGAGGUUGGCCGGCCACAUUGGGACUGAGACACGGCCCAGACUCCUACGGGAGGCAGCAG
This 239-nucleotide ribosomal RNA is filed under the name uncultured bacterium. Its description in RNAcentral is "partial 16S ribosomal RNA". It matches the Rfam family "Bacterial small subunit ribosomal RNA", at positions 116 to 354 of the family's 1533-position model. The record is from RNAcentral.